CAGCAGCCGCGGUAAUUCCAGCUCCAAUAGCGUAUAUUAAAGUUGUUGCAGUUAAAAAGCUCGUAGUUGAACCUUGGGUCUGGCUGGCCGGUCCGCCUCACCGCGAGUACUGGUCCGGCUGGACCUUUCCUUCUGGGGAACCUCAUGGCCUUCACUGACUGUGGGGGGAACCAGGACUUUUACUGUGAAAAAAUUAGAGUGUUCAAAGCAGGCCUUUGCUCGAAUACAUUAGCAUGGAAUAAUAGAAUAGGACGUGUGGUUCUAUUUUGUUGGUUUCUAGGACCGCCGUAAUGAUUAAUAGGGAUAGUCGGGGGCGUCAGUAUUCAGCUGUCAGAGGUGAAAUUCUUGGAUUUGCUGAAGACUAACUACUGCGAAAGCAUUCGCCAAGGAUGUUUUCAUUAAUCAGGGAACGAAAGUUAGGGGAUCGAAGACGAUCAGAUACCGUCGUAGUCUUAACCAUAAACUAUGCCGACUAGGGAUCGGACGGGAUUCUAUAAUGACCCGUUCGGCACCUUACGAGAAAUCAAAGUUUUUGGGUUCUGGGGGGAGUAUGGUCGCAAGGCUGAAACUUAAAGGAAUUGACGG
RNAcentral lists this ribosomal RNA (585 nucleotides) under uncultured fungus. RNAcentral's name for it is "SSU rRNA". It matches the Rfam family "Eukaryotic small subunit ribosomal RNA", at positions 568 to 1159 of the family's 1831-position model. Lineage: Eukaryota; Fungi. The record is from RNAcentral.